UCGAGCUGCUUCCGCGGCGA
RNAcentral lists this small nuclear RNA (20 nucleotides) under Arabidopsis thaliana (thale cress). RNAcentral describes it as "snRNA_14736". The record is from RNAcentral. Lineage: Eukaryota; Viridiplantae; Streptophyta; Magnoliopsida; Brassicales; Brassicaceae.